This 163-nucleotide ribosomal RNA is filed under the name Borinda muliensis. RNAcentral describes it as "Fargesia sp. YZ-2020b 5.8S ribosomal RNA". It matches the Rfam family "5.8S ribosomal RNA". From Rfam's summary of the family: 5.8S ribosomal RNA (5.8S rRNA) is a component of the large subunit of the eukaryotic ribosome. The record is from RNAcentral. Lineage: Eukaryota; Viridiplantae; Streptophyta; Magnoliopsida; Poales; Poaceae.
ACAUGACUCUCGGCAACGGAUAUCUCGGCUCUCGCAUCGAUGAAGAACGUAGCGAAAUGCGAUACCUGGUGUGAAUUGCAGAAUCCAGCGAACCAUCGAGUCUUUGAACGCAAGUUGCGCCCGGGGCCUUUGGGCCGAGGGAACGCCUGCCUGGGCGUCACGC